AAAAAAUAUAAGUCAAUGCGGAAACUGGCUAAAAAAAAAAGCAGUGUCAUAUCCAACAUGGAGAAAGUUCAAUCACCUGUACAGAAAGGCUGUAUGGCAUUAGGAAGGCAGUAUCUUUAUAAUAUAAUAGUCUCUCUCUAUCUGGGCCGUCCAGGAUUAAAAAUCACUGGAAGAUGAAGGUUACUUCAUGUCUGCAGCAUGUGUUCCGAAGCACUCAUAUGGAAGCUUUCUGUAGAAGAAGGUAAUCUCUUCUUUUUCAGCAGGUCUAGGUUCAUAUUGGUGGGUUUUUUCUCUGGCACUGGAACCAGUAAAGGAGUGUAAAAUUGAGAGGAUCACCUUGUUUUUCCCACAAAUCUAAGAAAACUCAGAACAGAAGAUUGAGGAUAGUGGUUAACAACUUAAUGAAACUGCAAACACUAAAACUAACUUGAAAAAAAUAACAGCAUUCACAGUGUAAGCAGUGUGUAGGUGGCACGGUCACAGUGUAAGCAGCGUAUAGGCGAUACGGUAACAGUAUAAGGCAAUGUUUAUGUGAUACGGUCACAGUAUAAGCAGCGUGUAGGUGGCACGGUCACAGUGUAAGCAGCGUAUAGGCGAUACGGUCACAGUAUAAGGCAAUGUUUAUGUGAUACGGUCACAGUAUAAGCAGUGUGUAGGUGGCACGGUCACAGUAUAAGGCAAUGUUUAUGUGAUACGGUCACAGUAUAAGCAGUGUGUAGGCGGCACGGUCACAGUGUAAGCAAUGUUUAUGUGAUACGGUCACAGUAUAAGCAGUGUUUAGGAGAUACGGUCACAGUAAAAGGCAAUGUUUAUGUGAUACGGUCACAGUAUAAGCAAUGUUUAGGAGAUACGGUCACAGUGUAAGCAUUGAGUAGACGGCACGGUCACAGUGUAAGCAGCAUAUAGGCGAUACGGUCACAGUAUAAGGCAAUGUUUAUGUGAUACGGUCACAGUAUAAGCAGUGUGUAGGUGGCACGGUCACAGUAUAAGGCAAUGUUUAUGUGAUAUGGUCACAGUAUAAGCAGUGUGUAGGCGGCACGGUCACAGUGUAAGCAAUGUUUAUGUGAUACGGUCACAGUAUAAGCAGUGUUUAGGAGAUACGGUCACAGUAAAAGGCAAUGUUUAUGUGAUACGGUCACAGUAUAAGCAAUGUUUAGGAGAUACGGUCACAGUGUAAGCAUUGAGUAGACAGCACGGUCAUAGUGUAAGCAGUGUGUAGGCGGCACGGUCACAGUGUAAGCAGUGUGUAGGCGGCACGGUCACAGUGUAAGCUGUGUGUAGGCAGCACGGUCACAGUAUAAGCAGCGUAUAGGCAAUACGGUCACAGUAUAAGCAGUGUUUAGGAGAUACGGUCACAGUGUAAGCAGUGUGUAGGUGGCACAGUCACAGUGUAAGCAGUGUGUAGGCGGCACGGUCACAGUGUAAGCAGUGUAUAGGCGAUACGGUCACAGUAUAAGGCAAUGUUUAUGUGAUACGGUCACAGUAUAAGCAGUGUUUAUGAGAUACGGUCACAGUGUGAGCAGUGUUUAGGUGACACAGGCGUUUAAUUCUUCAUAGUCACGGUAUUUAUGGUUACCUCAUAAGUAUUACAGUCACUCACAUUGGUUGAAUUGGCACAUGG
This 1621-nucleotide long non-coding RNA is filed under the name Pelobates cultripes (western spadefoot toad). Lineage: Eukaryota; Metazoa; Chordata; Amphibia; Anura; Pelobatidae. The record is from RNAcentral.